Molecule: long non-coding RNA, 1449 nt
Organism: Carassius auratus (goldfish)
Lineage: Eukaryota; Metazoa; Chordata; Actinopteri; Cypriniformes; Cyprinidae
Exons: 2
Source: RefSeq, a predicted model, not a curated record
UUAAACAUAAAAAUCAACUGUCAGUCCUUUGUUGAGCACCUGGUAACUUUAACACAGUUACGAUUCUGCUAGGCUCCAUUCGUUGUGUACAUAAUCUAGCUAUAUAUUGUUUAAGCGUCUGAGCUUGACCACCAGUCUAACAUAUGCUUUUAACUUCCUACAUAACACAUGCAUAUUAGUUGCUUUUAUGAGUCAUAGCAUUACACAAAUGAGUCAUAGCAUUACAUUUGGGGUCAUUCAUAUUCGACAUUCAUAUGGUUAUUAUGGGCAACCUUAACAGCUUUUCUACCCUGCUAGGUUCAAUCCAUUGUAAAAAAAAAAAAAAAAAACUAUGAUUAAUAAAGUUUAGGUGUCUAAUAUAUGCUUUUAAAAUCAAUAGCUUCCUAAAUGAUCACACUAAUAACACAGGCAUAGUUGGUUUCAAGUUCAAGAGCUCAAAAGAUGAUGCAUUAUGCAAAUGAGCCAGAAAAGUUCAAGCUUUAGUCUGAUCUGUCUACUAUAAUAUUGUCAUGUCAGAUAAUCACAGGAACAUAUUUUGAGGGGAAAUAAAAAGGUUAACUUCACUUAGAAUUAGUAUUAGUUCUAUUAAUAGCAUUCACGUGUACAAAUUUGGGGUGUUUGCAUAGGAACUCAAAUAUAAAACACGAGGGUUAUCUAAUCUAAAACAGCACUCUCUGUCACUGAAACAAUCAGAGGUUUAAAGAUGAAACAUUCAAAUGCAGGAAGCACGAGCGUGGGGUUUAGACGCGGCUGGAAAAGCCUCUGAAGAAAAAGAAGAAAAAAAAAGUCACGAUUUUGCUGGAAUUGAGCCACCCGGCUGUGACGUCAGUCUCGGAGACGUAAGUCAGCACGAGCGUGCAGAAGAACGGCUCGAGCAAAUGAAGCAGCAAGCAUGGCAUGCACUAUAAUAAUCACGAGUGUACUGUGCCGCGAGCCUCCGAUGAACGCUGCUCACCUGUAACGGGAAGGACGCGGAUUUAUUUCCCACGUAUCCUCUCACGACGUGACUCUGGAUCGACAGAACUCGGCACUCCAUGUCGCGCGCAGUUAAAGCGCUUUCAGACGCUCCAGAAUGUCACGCGAUUGUGGGGCAGCGGCGAACCGGAGAGGCGCUUCUCUUCCCCUUUUCACAUCCAAAUUGGGAUCCGUGAUGGCAAGUUCUCUAGGCAGCCAGAGAAAUGAAGGACAUUCACACCGGAGACGCUCAUUGGCGGCGAGCGCAUCUACUCAGGCAUCCUGAGGGGGCACCUAAAGUCCGCUGAGUGACAUCACGACGGCGCUCGAAACCGUGGCUAUAUUUAUCAUACGUUCAGGUAGAGAAGAAUGGGCUGAUCAAAUCAUCAUGGAUCAAUCACGUAAACCCAGAAGAAAGCCUCAAUAAAUCCAGACUGCAUCGGAAAUUAUGGGUAUCAACAGAUGUUGCAAUUAUAUUAAAGAUAAAUGUAUGUA